Molecule: non-coding RNA, 66 nt
Organism: Caerostris extrusa
Lineage: Eukaryota; Metazoa; Arthropoda; Arachnida; Araneae; Araneidae
Source: the annotation of a GenBank genome assembly
GGGGCAGUGGCACAAUGGAUAACGCGCCUGACAACGGAUCAGGAGGUUCGAAUCCUGGCUGGCUCG